AGCAGUAGCCGCGGGAAAACGUAGGUGGCAAGCGUUGUCCGGAAUUAUUGGGCGUAAAGGGCUCGCAGGCGGUUUCUUAAGUCUGAUGUGAAAGCCCCCGGCUCAACCGGGGAGGGUCAUUGGAAACUGGGAAACUUGAGUGCAGAAGAGGAGAGUGGAAUUCCACGUGUAGCGGUGAAAUGCGUAGAGAUGUGGAGGAACACCAGUGGCGAAGGCGACUCUCUGGUCUGUAACUGACGCUGAGGAGCGAAAGCGUGGGGAGCGAACAGGAUUAGAUACCCCCGUAGUCCCUGUCUCUUAUAC
RNAcentral lists this ribosomal RNA (303 nucleotides) under uncultured bacterium. RNAcentral's name for it is "partial 16S ribosomal RNA". It matches the Rfam family "Bacterial small subunit ribosomal RNA", at positions 507 to 807 of the family's 1533-position model. The record is from RNAcentral.